CCUACGGGCGGCAGCAGUGAGGAAUAUUGGUCAAUGGACGAGAGUCUGAACCAGCCAAGUAGCGUGAAGGAUGACUGCCCUAUGGGUUGUAACCUUCUUUUAUAAAGGAAUAAAACGAGGCACGUGUGCUUUUUUGCAUGUACUUUAUGAAUAAGGAUCGGCUAACUCCGUGCCAGCAGCCGCGGUAAUACGGAGGAUCCGAGCGUUAUCCGGAUUUAUUGGGUUUAAAGGGAGCGUAGAUGGGUUGUUAAGUCAGUUGUGAAAGUUCGCGGCUCAACCGUAAAAUUGCAAUUGAUACUGGCAGUCUUGAGUACAGUUGAGGUAGGCGGAAUUCGUGGUGGAGCAGUGAAAUGCUUAGAUAGCACGAAGAACCCCGAUGGCGAAGGCAGCUUACUAAACUGUGACUGACAUUGAUGCUCGAAAGUGUGGGUAUCAAACAGGAUUAGAUACCCUGGUAGUC
RNAcentral lists this ribosomal RNA (460 nucleotides) under uncultured bacterium. Its description in RNAcentral is "partial 16S ribosomal RNA". It matches the Rfam family "Bacterial small subunit ribosomal RNA", at positions 338 to 795 of the family's 1533-position model. The record is from RNAcentral.